UGAGGAAUCUUGCGCAAUGGGGGAAACCCUGACGCAGCAACGCCGCGUGAGUGAGGAAGGUCUUCGGGUCGUAAAGCUCUGUCAGGCGGGAAGAAAUGCAUGGAGGUGAACAGCCGCCAUGCUUGACGGUACCGCCAGAGGAAGCACCGGCUAACUCCGUGCCAGCAGCCGCGGGAAUACGGGGGGUGCAAGCGUGGUUCGGAAUCAUUGGGCGUAAAGAGCGUGUAGGCGGCUUGGUAAGUCAGAUGUGAAAGCCCUGGGCUCAACCCGGGAAGUGCAUUUGAAACUGCCAGGCUCGAGUCGGGGAGAGGGAAGUGGAAUUCCUGGUGUAGAGGUGAAAUUCGUAGAUAUCAGGAGGAACACCGGUGGCGAAGGCGACUUCCUGGCCCUAUACUGACGCUGAGACGCGAGAGCGUGGGUAGCAAACAG
This 429-nucleotide ribosomal RNA is filed under the name uncultured bacterium. RNAcentral describes it as "bacterial SSU rRNA". It matches the Rfam family "Bacterial small subunit ribosomal RNA", at positions 355 to 775 of the family's 1533-position model. The record is from RNAcentral.